GACGAACGCUGGCGGCGUGCUUAACACAUGCAAGUCGAACGGAAAGGCCCUGCUUUUGUGGGGUGCUCGAGUGGCGAACGGGUGAGUAACACGUGAGUAACCUGCCCUUGACUUUGGGAUAACUUCAGGAAACUGGGGCUAAUACCGGAUAGGAGCUCCUGCUGCAUGGUGGGGGUUGGAAAGUUUCGGCGGGUGGGGAUGGACUCGCGGCUUAUCAGCUUGUUGGUGGGGUAGUGGCUUACCAAGGCUUUGACGGGUAGCCGGCCUGAGAGGGUGACAGGCCACAUUGGGACUGAGAUACGGCCCAGACUCCUACGGGAGGCAGCAGUGGGGAAUAUUGCACAAUGGGCGGAAGCCUGAUGCAGCAACGCCGCGUGCGGGAUGACGGCCUUCGGGUUGUAAACCGCUUUCGCCUGUGACGAAGCGUGAGUGACGGUAAUGGGUAAAGAAGCACCGGCUAACUACGUG
Molecule: ribosomal RNA, 468 nt
Filed under: uncultured bacterium
Lineage: Bacteria
Description: partial 16S ribosomal RNA
Rfam family: Bacterial small subunit ribosomal RNA
Source: RNAcentral